This 76-nucleotide transfer RNA is filed under the name Bacillota bacterium. Its description in RNAcentral is "Firmicutes bacterium (gut metagenome) tRNA-Thr". It matches the Rfam family "tRNA". From Rfam's summary of the family: Transfer RNA (tRNA) molecules are approximately 80 nucleotides in length. Their secondary structure includes four short double-helical elements and three loops (D, anti-codon, and T loops). The record is from RNAcentral. Lineage: Bacteria; Bacillati; Bacillota.
GCCGAUAUAGCUCAGAUGGCAGAGCGAUUCACUCGUAAUGAAUAGGUCAACGGUUCGACUCCGUUUAUCGGCUCCA